Molecule: unclassified non-coding RNA, 285 nt
Filed under: plant metagenome
Description: partial contains small subunit ribosomal RNA and internal transcribed spacer 1
Rfam family: Eukaryotic small subunit ribosomal RNA (bases 1-54)
Source: RNAcentral
GGUAGUAAAAGUCGUAACAAGGUUUCCGUAGGUGAACCUGCGGAAGGAUCAUUAUUGUAUAACCGAGGUGCGAGGGCUGUCGCUGACCCGAAAGGUCGUGCACGCCCGAGUGCCCUCACACACAUCCAUCUCACCCCUAUGUGCACCACCGCGUGGGUCCCCCUUUGGCUUGUUCGGAGGGGGGCUUACGUUUUCACACAAACUUUGUAUGCAGUGUAGAAUGUAUUUUUUGUUUUUGCGAUCACGCAAUCAAUACAACUUUCAACAACCGAUCUCUUGGCUCUC